RNAcentral lists this ribosomal RNA (693 nucleotides) under Ditylum brightwellii. Its description in RNAcentral is "partial Bacterial large subunit ribosomal RNA". It matches the Rfam family "Bacterial large subunit ribosomal RNA", at positions 600 to 1299 of the family's 2925-position model. The record is from RNAcentral. Lineage: Eukaryota; Bacillariophyta; Thalassiosirophyceae; Lithodesmiales; Lithodesmiaceae.
CGUACCUUUUGUAUAAUGGGUCAGCGACUUAGUGUUGCGUGCAAGCUUAAGCCGAUAGGUGUAGGCACAGCGAAAGCGAGUCUUAAUAGGGCGAAUGAGUACGUAGCAUUAGACCCGAAGGCAAGUGAUCUAGAUAUGGGCAGGCUGAAGGUGCAGUAACAUGCACUGGAGGGCCGAACCGUUGAGCGUUGAAAAGCUCUCGGAUGACCUGUGUCUAGGGGUGAAAGGCCAAUCAAACUCGGUGAUAGCUGGUUCUCCCCGAAAUGCAUUUAGGUGCAGCGUCGUAUUAUAGCUUGGUGGAGGUAGAGCGACUGGUUGGUUGAGCGGGACUACAAUCUUAGCAAUGUCAGCCAAACUCCGAAUGCCACUAAUUGUGUUGUACGGCAGUGAGACUGUGGGGGAUAAGCUUCAUAGUCGAGAGGGAAACAGCCCAGAUCGCCGGUUAAGGCCCCUAAGGGUGUACUAAGUGGAAAAGGAUGUGGGAUCGCGAAGACAGCCAGGAGGUUGGCUUAGAAGCAGCCAUCCUUGAAAGAGUGCGUAAUAGCUCACUGGUCGAGUGACACUGCGCCGAAAAUGUACCGGGGCUAAACAUAUUACCGAAGCUGUGGAUCCGUAAGGAUGGUAGGAGAGCGUUCUAAGUGCACUGAAGCAUGAUCGUGAGGACAUGUGGAGCGCUUAGAAGUGAGAACGCCG